GACGAACGCUGGCGGCGCGCCUAACACAUGCAAGUCGAACGGAGCUGAGAGAAGCUUGCUUUUCUUAGCUUAGUGGCGAACGGGUGAGUAACGCGUGAGUAACCUGCCCUGGAGUGGGGGACAACAGUUGGAAACGACUGCUAAUACCGCAUAAGCCCACGAUCCGGCAUCGGAUUGAGGGAAAAGGAUUUAUUCGCUUCAGGAUGGACUCGCGUCCAAUUAGCUAGUUGGUGAGGUAACGGCCCACCAAGGCGACGAUUGGUAGCCGGACUGAGAGGUUGAACGGCCACAUUGGGACUGAGACACGGCCCAGACUCCUACGAGAGGCAGCAGUGGGGGAUAUUGCACAAUGGGGGAAACCCUGAUGCAGCGACGCCGCGUGGAGGAAGAAGGUUUUCGGAUUGUAAACUCCUGUCGUUAGGGACGAUAAUGACGGUACCUAACAAGAAAGCACCGGCUAACUACGUG
This 468-nucleotide ribosomal RNA is filed under the name uncultured bacterium. RNAcentral's name for it is "partial 16S ribosomal RNA". It matches the Rfam family "Bacterial small subunit ribosomal RNA", at positions 28 to 507 of the family's 1533-position model. The record is from RNAcentral.